RNAcentral lists this ribosomal RNA (247 nucleotides) under uncultured bacterium. RNAcentral describes it as "partial 16S ribosomal RNA". It matches the Rfam family "Bacterial small subunit ribosomal RNA", at positions 337 to 601 of the family's 1533-position model. The record is from RNAcentral.
UCCUACGGGACGCAGCAGUGGGGAAUAUUGCACAAUGGGGGAAACCCUGAUGCAGCGACGCCGCGUGAGUGAAGAAGUAAUUCGUUAUGUAAAGCUCUAUCAGCAGGGCAGAAAAUGACGGUACCUGAGUAAGAAGCCCCGGCUAACUACGUGCCAGCAGCCGCGGUAAUACGUAGGGGGCAAGCGUUAUCCGGAUUUACUGGGUGUAAAGGGAGCGUAGACGGCAGUGCAAGUCUGGAGUGAAAGG